CCAGCAGCUGCGGUAAUUCCAGCUCUAAUAGCAUCUAUUAAAGUUGUUGCAGUUACAAAGCUCGUAGUCGGAUUUUGGGCGCGUGUGGGCUGUCGGCCUCUGGUCGGACGGCAUGCGCGUGCCUUUCUGCUUGGGAGCCCCAUGGCGGUUCACGCCGUCGUGGUGGGUCACAGGCAGUUUACUUUGAAAAAAUUAGAGUGUUCAAAGCAGGCUAUUGCUUGAAUAGAUUAGCAUGGAAUAAUGGAAUAGGACCUUGGUGCUAUUUCGUUGGUUAUGGGACUGGGGUAAUGAUUAAUAGGGACAGUUGGGGCCGUUCAUAUUUCGUUGUCAGGGGUGAAAUUCUUGGAUUUACGAACGAUGAACUUGUGCGAAAGCAUUCGGCAAGGAUGUUUUCAUUGAUCAAGAACGAACGU
RNAcentral lists this ribosomal RNA (413 nucleotides) under uncultured eukaryote. RNAcentral describes it as "SSU rRNA". It matches the Rfam family "Eukaryotic small subunit ribosomal RNA", at positions 567 to 990 of the family's 1831-position model. The record is from RNAcentral.